AUCCACCUGGGGAGUACGUCAGCAAUGAUGAAACUCAAAGGAAUUGACGGGGGCCCGCGCAAGCGGAGGAACAUGUGGUUUAAUUCGAUGAUACGCGAGGAACCUUACCUGGGCUUAAAUGUAGAGUGCAUAGAGUGGAAACAUUCUUUUCCUUCGGGACUCUUUACAAGGUGCUGCAUGGUUGUCGUCAGCUCGUGCCGUGAGGUGUCGGGUUAAGUCCCAUAACGAGCGCAACCCUCAUCGCCAGUUGCCAUCACAUCAUGGUGGGGACUCUGGUGAAACUGCCGGUGCAAACCGCGAGGAAGGUGAGGAUGACGUCAAAUCAGCACGGCCCUUAUGUCCAGGGCUACACACGUGUUACAAUGGUCGGUACAACGGGCAGCUACACAGCGAUGUGGUGCUAAUCCUAAAAACCGAUCUUAGUUCGGAUCGGAGUCUGCAACUCGACUCCGUGAAGCUGGAUUCGCUAGUAAUCGCACAUCAGCCAUGGUGCGGUGAAUACGUUCCCGGGCCUUGUACACUCC
Molecule: ribosomal RNA, 524 nt
Filed under: uncultured bacterium
Lineage: Bacteria
Description: bacterial SSU rRNA
Rfam family: Bacterial small subunit ribosomal RNA
Source: RNAcentral